AACGAACGCUGGCGGCAUGCCUAACACAUGCAAGUCGAACGAGACCUUCGGGUCUAGUGGCGCACGGGUGUGUAACGCGUGGGAAUCUGCCCUUGGGUUCGGAAUAACUCGCCGAAAGGCGUGCUAAUACCGGAUGAUGACGUAAGUCCAAAGAUUUAUCGCCCAAGGAUGAGCCCGCGUUGGAUUAGCUAGUUGGUGAGGUAAAGGCUCACCAAGGCGACGAUCCAUAGCUGGUCUGAGAGGAUGAUCAGCCACACUGGGACUGAGACACGGCCCAGACUCCUACGGGAGGCAGCAGUGGGGAAUAUUGGACAAUGGGCGAAAGCCUGAUCCAGCAAUGCCGCGUGAGUGAUGAAGGCCUUAGGGUUGUAAAGCUCUUUUACCCGGGAUGAUAAUGACCGUACCGGGAGAAUAAGCUCCGGCUAACUCCGUG
RNAcentral lists this ribosomal RNA (433 nucleotides) under uncultured bacterium. Its description in RNAcentral is "partial 16S ribosomal RNA". It matches the Rfam family "Bacterial small subunit ribosomal RNA", at positions 29 to 507 of the family's 1533-position model. The record is from RNAcentral.